RNAcentral lists this long non-coding RNA (5409 nucleotides) under Homo sapiens (human). RNAcentral describes it as "non-protein coding LEF1-AS1:24". Lineage: Eukaryota; Metazoa; Chordata; Mammalia; Primates; Hominidae. The record is from RNAcentral.
CCAGCGCUGGGCCAGUGCAGGCCGAGCCCUGCGUCCCUGCCUCGCUGGGUGGGGGUCCGGGGCGCGGCUGUCCACAGGGCCGCCUCCUCCUGCGGCCCGCGGGGAAGGGGCGCAUCCCACCCCGCUCUGCAGGCCGCCCUUCUGCCAGCUGGGAGGCGAGGGCACACGUCCUAAGGCUGCCCAAGGGGGAGAGGAAUCGCGCCGGUAGGAGAGCGCACGGGAACCAGGAACGCAAGGCGGGCACAGGGGAGCCGAAGGAGCCAGACAGGGCCCGGCCACGCGCCCUCCUCGCUCGGCUGCGCUCCGUGACGGGAACCCAGGCUCCCACGCACGGGGAAUGCCUAGAACGGAGCUAGAAUGGAGGUGGGAGCUGGAGUCAUUUUGCGGGCCACAGGACUGCUCAUUUCGUGGGCAGGACGUGACAUUCUUGUCCCUCCUUUCUGAAAAACUUUUCUCAGGCGCCUGAACUUGGCAUGGGGACCGGCCUCGAAAAGCCGGCGGGUAGCACGGCCGCGGUAUCCAACCCUUCGCCCUCCUUCCCACCGGCCCUCCGCGUCCCUCGGCCCGCCCCCCGGGUCGGGGACGCGCGCGGAAAGGCCGCUCGCGCGCUCGAGCCGUGCCUUAUAUCGGCUGAGGGAGGCGCCUGCGCACGGCCCCGCGCGGCGGCGCGGCCUUUGAAGUCGCGGCGGCUGCCGCUUUCAUCCUUUCUUUUUUCCCUCGCAGGCCCCUUUGUGUGACUAAAUUUGGCAAGAAUAUGGAUCUGAGCCAGUCUUUCCACGUGUGCUCCCAGCUCCCAGCUGAGAAGGCCAAGGGUUCUCUUCCGGAUGCAGCCUUUUUGAAAUUUAUUCUUGGCCAAAAGAGGAAGAUAGUUCAAGGAUUCUAUCUUGCUUUUGGGGGGCAAUGGAGAAACCCUGAAAACACUUAAGGAAAACCUGAGGCCUUCUAUAAGAAAAUAAACUCCCUGAAAGGGGAGGCAGGGCCAAGGAAUUUACUUAUUUUUAUAAAUCUCUUUCCUGGGUGGAUAUGGUAAUGGAUGUGUUUCUUGAAUUGUGGUAAAUGUACCUCAUAAAAUGGAUGGACUGGGGCUAUAUUCUCAGGCUUCCUGGGCUCUGUUGGCAUUGGGCAAGCACGUAAUGCCUGGUUUGAGGCUAGAAGCCAAAGCCACAACCUUCUUGCAGUACCAACUGAGCCAUAGGGAGAUUAAUGCAGAACAAGGUCGUUAGUCUCAUUGUUUAUCCAGUUACUAGCCGCAUAGAUUUUGUGUAAAUUUCAGCUACAGUGGUUGCAGCCUGCCUUUGAUGUGUGUAAUCUGUACAUUUUAGUGCUCCAGGAAAGUACCUGAUUGACAAGAUCUACAUCCAAUGCCCAGAAAACACAUCCUACACAGGCACAGUGAAGCGUGGAGUUGAAGAAUUUUCCAGUGAGUUCCAUCAAAGUAAAUAAACCAACCUAGAGCAUCAGGAUUGAGCCUCCUUUUUCUCAUGACAUGACUUUUGAGUGUCCUUGGGAAUGGUUUGUAUUUGUUUUCAUUUGAAACUGGGUAACUGCUUUAAAUCCUUAUUUACCUCUCAGAGGAAGAACUUGGCCUGUAUGACAUUUGACCUUGAGGAUGCUUUCUGUUUUAAAGCACUUCUGUCCAUAAAAACAGACUCCUUGAGUGAGGUUACCUGUACUCAUAUAUACAUUUAUCCAAGACACAGCCAAUUUCUAGUUCCUUCCUUAGCUUUGUCUUGCUUGUAUGGCUACGCUUAAACUCAGAAUUAACAACGAUGGGAGUGAAUUCAGAUGGUAGAGACAGCCAGUGCAAAUAGUUUAGGCUACAAAAUUGUCAUCUGGCUCCACCAAACACUUUUCUUUGGCCAAAAUAAAGCUAAUUUGCCUCAUCUGAAUUUGACUUAAAGGUCCUGCAGUCCCGCUCUGCCAAUUAACAGAUCUCAAGUCCACUUCCCUUAGGUUAAAUUGGCAGAAAGCAAAGGACAGAGAUAAACUACUAUCCUAUGAGGUUAGACGGUAAUUUUUGACUGCCAGUUCUGAUAACCCCAGACUCCCAAAUAUAUUUUGAGAUUCAUUUGAAUUACCGAGAUAUUUGAUUUUUGCAGUUCAAAUUACUAGGAUAAUUUUUUACAUUGUUUUGCUUUGUAUCUCACAGUGGCUGAGUAAGACAGACCUUGUUGAAGCUCUAACUCUCUCACUGUUAGCCCUCCCUGUCCUGCACCUUUGCAGUUGCCUCCUAAUGAGUCUCUGGCUUUCAUUCUUUUUUUUUUCCGAGACAGUCUCCCACUAUCGCCCAGGCUGGAGUGCAGUGGUGUGAACUCGGCUCCCAGGUUCAAGUGAUUCUCGUGCCUCAGCCUCCCAAGUAGUUGGAACUACAGGUGUGCACCACCACAGUUGGCUUUUUGUAUUUUUAGUAGAGACAGGGUUUUGCUGUGUUGGCCAGGCUGGUCUUGAACUCCUGACCUCAAGCAAUCCACCCACCUUGACCUCUCAAAGUGCUCUGGCAUCCGUUCUUGCUGGGUUCCAUGCAUGCCCCACAAUAGUCCAUGCCUCAUAGAGCAGCCAAAGUCAUCCUUUAACAUUUCCUACUUGUGGCUUCCAAGUCCCUAUGUGAGCUGUUACCUGGCUUCCUCUUGCUCACUGCUCUCUAGCACCACUGGCUCUCCAGCUGUUCCUUCAGAGUGCAAAGCACAUGCACGCACGUGUACACACACACACACACACACACACAUGCACACACACACACACACACUAUACACCUCAGUCCUUGUUGCCUCUGCCCAGAAGCUCCUGGCCAGGUAGAUGUUCACAGGGCUCACUCCCUGACUUCAUUCAGGUUCUGCUCAGAUAGUCCCUCCUUAGAGCUUGUUAUCUUAAAAAAUAGCCAUCCCCCCAAACCUUCUGCCUUCACUCCAAUUCCGGUCACUCUCCAUUUUUUUUAUGGACUUCAUCUUCUUUUACUGUCACUGCUUGGCCUAUUUUUUAUACUUACUUACUAAUUAGCUUUCUUUCCCACUGGUUCAUAAGUUCCAUGAGGGUAGGGACUUUGCUUUGUUUUAUCCUUACUUCCUGUGGCAGCUCUUGGUGCAUAGAAAAUAUACUAGCAAGGUGUGUAGAAGAAUAAAUUAACAUGCCUUUGACAACCUCAGGUUUCUUAUCUGGAAUACUUCCCUUAUGGAAGAUUACAAAUAAUUGUUAUAAAAUUACCUGGCAUACAGUAGAUACACUCAGUAGGUGAUAACUGUAAUUAUGCAGAUCAGCACUGCCAAAUGAAAUAUAAUGCAAGUCACAUAUGUAAUUUUAAAAAGCUAGAAACAGAUUAAAUUAAUUUUAAUAAUACAUUUUAUUUAACCCAAAUGUUGAAAUUAUUACCAUUUUAAUAUAUAAUCAUUAUGAAAACUUACUAAUGAAAGAUUUUACAUUCUUUUUUCAUAUUAAGUCUUUGAAAUUCAGUGCAGUUUACUUACAGCAAGAUUCAGUUCUUUUUUUUUUCUUUUUUGUCUUUUGAGACGGAGUCUUGCUCUGUGCCCAGGCUGGAGUGCAGUGGCACGAUCUCGGCUCACUGCAAGCUCCACCUCCUGGGUUCACGCCAUUUUCCUGCCUCAGCCUCCCGAGUAGCUGGGACUACAGGCGCCCGCCACCACGCCCGGCUUUUUUGUUGUUGUUGUUGUUGUAUUUUUAAUAGAGAUGGGGUUUCACCAUGUUAGCCAGGAUGGUCUCGAUCUCCUGACCUCGUGAUCUGCCUGCCUCGGCCUCCCAAAGUGCUGGGAUUACAGGCGUGAGCCACCGCGCCCAGCAACUUACAGCACGAUUCAGUUCUAACUGGCCACCUUUUGAGUGCUUGAGUGUGGCUAGAGGCUACUGUAUGCAGUCAGUCAACUGUUUAAUGACAAGUUUUUGUCAGAUUCAUCUUUGUAACCCCCAUAUUGCCUUACACAUUUCCCUCAAAACAGUAGUUGAUCAAAAAUGUAUCAAAGAAUAUCAUAACAAUAUAUUGUUAUAUACUAUUUUUCAUGGCAAAUUCAGACUUUCAACUUAUUGGAGGGUGAAAUAAGUCUUGGUGAAGUAACUUGAGAUUAUAAUCAUUUUAAGUGUAUUAUAACAGUGCUUUGCCCAUAAGAGAGGUGUGCAAUGAAUAGUUGUGGUUCUCGUGUGUUGCUGAGUUGAGUACUUUUCUACAUUGUAAAUAAUAGAUUUACCAUUGAACUUUAGGAAAUACAUAAGUUGAAGGUUUUCUGUAUCAUAUUCUCUAGAAUAACUUUCUCCUCCCUGUAAAACUGCCAAACCUGCACUUCUAUAAGAGUCAUCCAGGAUCAAAAGUUUCUCCAGAAAUAUAUACCAUGGAGAGUGCCUACUCCCACUACAGAUUUCAUUUUCAGGUACAAUUCCUGAACUGCUUCUUGGUACACAUGGGCCAGAUAUAAUAGUAAGUCUAUUCUGUCCUAUGCCUUGAGUUUUCACUAAAAUGCUUUAAUAAGGCAUUAGCCUUAGGCCUAGCAAAUUCUUUUAGUUGCAAAAGUCAUUCCCCUCCAUUUCAGAGAUUUAAACCUGAUGCAAUAAGAGGAGGAAGAUGAACAAAAGAGCAGGGUCAUUUUCUGGAAGAAAUGGGUAAAGACUGUUUGUUGAGAGAUGUACCUCUAAAGCCUUGAUAUGCUUUUAUGGUAGAGAAGUAUUACAUAAACAUACUAUCCUUACUGUGACUAAAAAUGACCCAUAGGCCAGGCACGGUGGCUCACACCUGUAAUCCCAGCACUUUUGGGAGGCCAAGGCAGGAGGAUCACCUGAGGUCAGGAGUUCGAGACCAGCCUGGCCCAUAUGAUGAAACCCUGUCUCUACUGAAAGUACAAAAAUUAGCUGGUCGUGGUGUCAAGCGCCUGUAAUCUCAGCUACUCAGGAGGCUGAGGCAGGAGAAUUGCUUGAACCCAGGAGGAGGAGGUUGCAGUGAGCUGAGAUCAUGCCCUUGCACUGCAGCCUGGGUGACAAGAGCGAAACUCCAUCUCAAGAAAAAAAAUAAAAAUAAAAGUGAACCAUAGAUUUUCAGUGAAGUACAGAGAGUAGGCUGGGCACAGUGGCUCACACCUGUAAUUCCAGCAGUUUGGAAUCAAGGCAAGAGGAUUGCUUGAAGCCAGGAAUUCAAGACCAGCCUGGUCAACAUAGCAAGACCCCAUCUCUAAAAAUAAAAUAAAUUAGCUGGAUGUGGUUGUGUGCGCCAGUAGUUCCAGCUAGUCAGGAGGCUAAGGCAAGAAGAGCACUUGAGCCCAGGAGUUUGAGGCUUCAGUGAGCUAUGAUCAUGCCACUGCACUCUUGCCUGGGCAUCAGAGUGAGAUCCCACCUCAAAAAAAAAAAAAAAAGAAGAAAGAAGGAGAAGAAAAGAAGGAGGAAGAGAAGAGGAAGAAGAAGAGGAGGAGAAGAGGA